UUAAGUGUUUGGGAUGGCUUCGGAAGCAUAUUGGCAUGGAAUUGUAAUUAGAAAACAUGUCUUAGCGAUAUAAUUGACAACAAACAACAAGAAGGAAAAAAAAGUAAUUAACAUUGAUUGAAGACAUAAUUUGGAGCAAGCAUUGGAGAGAAGAUUUUGAAGGAUUUUUAUAUCAAUUGCAAAUUGGGCUAUAGAGAAUGGUGGUUCUGGAUUUAUUCUCCUCCUUUAGUUUUAUAUUUGUAAUUGGAAGGAUGUUUUCUUUAAUUAAUUCAGUUUUUAUUUCAUUG
Molecule: long non-coding RNA, 287 nt
Filed under: Panax ginseng (ginseng)
Lineage: Eukaryota; Viridiplantae; Streptophyta; Magnoliopsida; Apiales; Araliaceae
Description: long non-coding RNA (PGIN_LNC000695)
Source: RNAcentral